This 253-nucleotide ribosomal RNA is filed under the name uncultured bacterium. RNAcentral describes it as "partial 16S ribosomal RNA". It matches the Rfam family "Bacterial small subunit ribosomal RNA", at positions 524 to 776 of the family's 1533-position model. The record is from RNAcentral.
UACGUAGGGCGCAAGCGUUGUCCGGAAUUAUUGGGCGUAAAGAGCUCGUAGGCGGUUUGUCGCGUCUGCUGUGAAAACUCGAGGCUCAACCUCGGGCUUGCAGCGGGUACGGGCAGACUAGAGUGCGGUAGGGGUGACUGGAAUUCCUGGUGUAGCGGUGGAAUGCGCAGAUAUCAGGAGGAACACCGAUGGCGAAGGCAGGUCACUGGGCCGCAACUGACGCUGAGGAGCGAAAGCAUGGGGAGCGAACAGG